This 2097-nucleotide long non-coding RNA is filed under the name Equus caballus (horse). Its description in RNAcentral is "lncRNA (ENSECAG00000046827.1)". The record is from RNAcentral. Lineage: Eukaryota; Metazoa; Chordata; Mammalia; Perissodactyla; Equidae.
GGCAUGCAUCACCCAGUAUCCAUGUGUGAUGGAAAUGUGAUCACGCAGGAGUCACAUACCGUCCAUGGGUGGCUCCCACGUGACUACAGGUUGCUGAAACGUGGCUCACCCAUACUCAGUCGUGGCUGCCACAUGGCUCACGCAUGGCUAAGCUGUGUUUCACGGGUGGCUCCCGUGUGGUACAUUCGUGGGUCAAGCAUGGAACAUGUGUGUUUCACAGGUUCUUCAGAUGGGGUUCAAGGGUGUCUCCCAUGUGGUUCCUACAUGGCUCACACAUGGUUCGGGUGUAAUUCAGGCGUGGAUCUCACAUGACUCGUCUGUGUCACAUAUGGUUGAGGACACUCUCACACGUGGUUCAGGCAUAGCUCAGCCAUGGGUCACACGCGAAGCAGGUGUGCCACAGAACUGUCUCAUAUGUGGCUGAUACAUGACACAGGCUUUGGUCACACAUGGCUCACACAUGGUUCAAAUGUGGCUCAUGCAUGUCUGUGGUGUUUGUCAGGCGUGGCUCACAUGUGUUUGUGGCAUGGAUGGCACGUGGUUCAGGCAUGGCAGGCAGGUUGUGCCAGUGUGGCUGACACGUGCUUCCAGUGAGGCUGACCUGUGGUUCAAGUGUGACUGGCACUUGGUUCAGGCCUGGCUGGCAUGUGAAUUGGCGCAGCUGAGCCUUGACACAGACGUGGUACACAUGUUCUUCAGGCGUGUCUGACACAUGACUCAGGUGAGGUGGAAACGUGACACAGGCGUGCCUGACACAUCACACAGGUGUGGUUCACACAUGGUUCAUGAAUGGCCUUCGUGUGGUUCAGGGCUGGCUGGAGCAUGGUGCACGCAUGGGUGGCAGGGGGUUCAGGCGUGGCUGAAAUUUGACUCUGGCAUGUGUGAAACAGGACUCCAGAGUGGCUGAUACUUGUGUCAGGCAUGGCUGACACGUGACUCAGGCAUUCAUCACCCAGUAUCCAUGUGUGAUGGAAAUGUGAUCACGCAAGUGUCACAUGCCAUACAUGGGUGGCUCCCACGUCACUACAGGUUGCUGAAACGUGGCUCCCACAUACUCAGUCAUGGCUGGCACGUGGCUCAUGCAUGCCUCAGCCGUGUUUCAUCUGUGGCUCACCUGAGGUUCAUGUGUGGUUCAAGCAUUGAACGUGUGGUUCGCAUGGGCUUCAGAUGUGGGUCAAGGGUGCCUCACACAUGGAUCCGGCACAGUUCACUUGUGGCUCACACAUGGUUCAGAUGUAAUUCAGGCAUGGUAAACACAUGACUCGUGUGGGUCAUAAAUGCUACAGUAGACUUUCACACAUGAUUGAGGCAUGGCUCACACAUGGUUCCGGUGCAGCUCAGCCAAGGCUCACAUGUGAUGCAGGCAUGAAACAGAAUUGGUUCACAUGUGGCUGGUGCACGAUUCAGGCGUUUGUCAUGCAUGGCUCACACACGGCUGAGAUGUGGCUCAUGCAUGGCUGUGGUGCUGCUAAUGCGUGCUCUCACUUGUUUGUGGCGUGGUUGGCACAUGGUUCAGGCAUGGCAGGCAGGUGGCUCCAGCAUGGCUGCCACGUGCUUCAAGUGAGGCUGGCAUGUGUUUAAAUUGGGACUGGCACAUGGUUCCGUCGUGGCCGGCAUGUGUCUUCGGCAUGGCUGAGAUGAGACUCAGGCAUGGCUCACAUGCCUUUCAGGCUUGGCUGACACAUGACUCAGGUGAGGCAGCCACGUGAUACAGGCGUUCCUGUCACAUCACCCAUGUGUGGCUCGCACCUGGUUCAUGCACGGCCUUCACGUGGCUCAUGGCUGGCUGGUGCGUGGUUCACGCAGGGGUGCCAUGUGUUUCAGGUGUGGCUGACACAUGACGCAGGCAUGGCUGACACGUGACUCUACCAUUCAUCCCACAUUAUCCAUGCCUGGUAGACAUGUGUUUCAUGCAUGGGUUACAUGUCAUUCAUGUGUGGCACACACGUGUCUCACUCGCUGCUGACACAUGGCUCCCACCUACGCAGACUUAGCUGGCACAUGGCUGACACAUGGCCCAGACAUGUUUCUCGUGUGGCUCCCAUGUGGCUCACGUGUGGUUCAGGCAUUGAACAUGGGUGCUUCACUCAUUUUUCC